This 419-nucleotide ribosomal RNA is filed under the name uncultured bacterium. Its description in RNAcentral is "bacterial SSU rRNA". It matches the Rfam family "Bacterial small subunit ribosomal RNA", at positions 355 to 786 of the family's 1533-position model. The record is from RNAcentral.
UGGGGAAUAUUGCGCAAUGGGCGAAAGCCUGACGCAGCGACGCCGCGUGGGGGAUGAAGGCCUUCGGGUUGUAAACCCCUUUCAGCAGGGACGAAGCGAAAGUGACGGUACCUGCAGAAGAAGCGCCGGCUAACUACGUGCCAGCAGCCGCGGUAAUACGUAGGGCGCAAGCGUUGUCCGGAAUUAUUGGGCGUAAAGAGCUCGUAGGCGGUCUGUUACGUCUGCUGUGAAAACCCAGGGCUUAACCCUGGGCUUGCAGUGGAUACGGGCAGACUAGAGGCAGGUAGGGGAGAAUGGAAUUCCCGGUGUAGCGGUGAAAUGCGCAGAUAUCGGGAGGAACACCGGUGGCGAAGGCGGUUCUCUGGGCCUGACCUGACGCUGAGGAGCGAAAGCGUGGGGAGCGAACAGGAUUAGAUACC